Molecule: ribosomal RNA, 405 nt
Filed under: uncultured bacterium
Lineage: Bacteria
Description: partial 16S ribosomal RNA
Rfam family: Bacterial small subunit ribosomal RNA
Source: RNAcentral
AUCGAACGCUGGCGGCAGGCUUAACACAUGCAAGUCGAACGAGUGGCGGACGGGUGAGUAAUGCUUGGGAAUCUAGCUUCUGGAGGGGGAUAACUACGGGCAACUGUAGCCAAUACCGCGUACCAUAGGAUGAGCCCAAGUGGGAUUAGGUAGUUGGUGAGGUAAAGGCUAACCAAGCCGACGAUCUCUAGCUGGUCUGAGAGGAUGACCGGCCAACCGGGGAUUGGUACACGGCCCAGACUCCUACGGAGGGCAGAAGUGGGGAAUAUUGCGCAAUGGGGGCAACCUGACGCAGCCAUGCCGCGUGAAUGAAGAGGGCCUUCGGGUUGUAAACUUCUUUGGGUAGCGAGGCGUUAACUACAGAGGAAGGAACGGCUAACUCCGUGCCAGCAGCCGCGGUAAUAC